CAGAGGUGGCAAGCGUUGUUCGGAAUUACUGGGCGUAAAGGGCGCGUAGGCGGCCUUCUAAGUCAGACGUGAAAUCCCCAGGCUUAACUUGGGAACUGCGUCUGAUACUGGAGGGCUCGAGUGCGGGAGAGGGAUGUGGAAUUCCAGGUGUAGCGGUGAAAUGCGUAGAUAUCUGGAGGAACACCGGUGGCGAAGGCGGCAUCCUGGACCGACACUGACGCUGAGGCGCGAAAGCUAGGGGAGCAAACGGGAUUAGAUACCCCGGUAGUCCUAGCCCUAAACGAUGGGUGCUUGGUGUGGCGGGUAUCGAUCCCUGCCGUGCCGAAGCUAACGCAUUAAGCACCCCGCCUGGGGAGUACGGUCGCAAGGCUG
Molecule: ribosomal RNA, 372 nt
Filed under: uncultured organism
Description: bacterial SSU rRNA
Rfam family: Bacterial small subunit ribosomal RNA
Source: RNAcentral